GCUUCAUUUGACUCAACACGGGGAAACUCACCAGGUCCAGACAAAAUAAGGAUUGACAGAUUGAGAGCUCUUUCUUGAUCUUUUGGAUGGUGGUGCAUGGCCGUUCUUAGUUGGUGGAGUGAUUUGUCUGCUUAAUUGCGAUAACGAACGAGACCUCGGCCCUUAAAUAGCCCGGUCCGCAUUUGCGGGCCGCUGGCUUCUUAGGGGGACUAUCGGCUCAAGCCGAUGGAAGUGCGCGGCAAUAACAGGUCUGUGAUGCCCUUAGAUGUUCUGGGCCGCACGCGCGCUACACUGACAGGGCCAGCGAGUACAUCACCUUGGCCGAGAGGUCUGGGUAAUCUUGUUAAACCCUGUCGUGCCGGGGAUUGGGG
Molecule: ribosomal RNA, 371 nt
Filed under: Aspergillus terreus
Lineage: Eukaryota; Fungi; Ascomycota; Eurotiomycetes; Eurotiales; Aspergillaceae
Description: SSU rRNA
Rfam family: Eukaryotic small subunit ribosomal RNA
Source: RNAcentral